AACACACGGAAAAAUAAAUAUUAAAAUUCAGCUAAAAGGAACUGCUCCAAAUUGAUCUACAGUUGUCAUUGUCGUCGUAAUCUUUGAACUCUCUCUAAGGGGGGGGGUGCUCCAAACAAAUCUCGUCUUGCAUUGUCAGCAGUAUUAUGAGUGGGCGGGGUAGAGGAACGUCCGUCAAAAAUGAAGUGCUACCAAAGUCAUCCGUAGGAAAUGGACUGCCAGUCUGUGAGCCACUCUUAAUGACCUCAUCUGAAGAAAGGUCAACUGAUAUAAAGACCAGGUCCUAAAUGAACAGUUUGUGUACAGUCAAAAUAUUGCUCCCCUAAUGUGUAUGUUAUAAGAGAUUCCACUGUACUGACCUUGAGGUCACGAUGUAUGGGGGGUUUUGUCCGAUGGUGUAGCCUAGCAACGACAGAGAAUGUUGUCUCAGUCGAGUGAUCGCUGAGUCAGUAACUCCAUCACCACGCUACCUAAUUAAACAGGAACAAAUAAUAUUGAAAGUGAAAUGCUUUGAGGGAGUACAAUGAUCUAUUGAUGACACAAUGUGGGCACUCCAGCAGUGAUAUCCACCAUCAAGGAAAAUGGCUGACAAUACUUAUAUAGGACAGCUAGUACAUUGUGCAAAAGAGCCGACUUGGCGUUUAUUAAUUUGGCAACAGCUUGUAUCCUAAACAGGUUAUGAGAAGUCUUACCCAGGCAAGGCUAUAUGCAAGGCCAGGUCUAAUCCCCCAGUCAGUGUGAGGACAACACUUCAAGAGUCAAAUUAGAGUCAAAUUCCCCGUACCUCCCGUGGGGGGGGGGCAACACAUUGAGAGGCAUUAUCACCUGAUCAUGAUUAUACAGUAUAGGUAGUUGUCACCUGAGCUGAAACGGUACUUGCUGACACAGCAGAUCGACACUGCCAGUGACACCAGAGUCACGUUGAGGUGUCCUGUACCUGGGGGAUAGCAAACACAGAGGUCAAAGUGCACAGAAUUGCAGGAAAGUUUGUAGCCAUUUCAGCUUGUUGAGAUUCAGUAGCAGUAAGCUGUGCAAAUUAAUGAUAGGCUUUCCAAUAACUAAAGGAUUGCAUGGACAAUCUCAACUAUAUAUAAAAGUCCUACUGAAAAUUAAUAAGCCAUCAAUAAUUAUUGUCUAGUAAUAUUAAAGGUAGCGCUCACCUUUCCCCUGAGUCAGAGUGUUGGUCCAUUGUGUCCAGUGCACCGUGCUAGCUAGUAGGACCACUCCAAUGGAUGUGCUCUCAGAGCAUUAGAACUGAUGAAGCACAUGGCCAGUGGGUAAAGAUCGUCAAACCAUUAGACAAAAUAAUAUGUUUCAUUUUGUAGAUUUGAUAUCCUUUGGACCUUUACCAGACACGCUCACACACAAGAUGGAGACAGCUGGUGAGGAAAAGCAUUCACUUGUCCUUCGCUCUAGGAGCUUCCACAAGGCUGGAUAUCUGGUGGAUACUCACCCAAAAGACCAGUAGCAAUGGAUCACAAGGCAAACAGCAUUGCAGCGAGUACAAUGCUAGUGAUGGAGAGCACGAGAGGGGCGGAGUCAGUGACACAUUUCUAUGACAACAUAUGAUGGAGGAGUUACAAGGUGACACUGUGGAGUUUGCGUACAACCCAUUGGACGUCUUGCACUGCAGAUAAAGGAACACAAUUAAGAAAUAAUUUGUGAGGGUCAGUUGUUCACUCUGUUGGAUGCUAAUGAUGAUCGACCCAUUGGGCGUCAAUACAAUCGACCUAAGGAACAGACUGAACACCAGCCCCCAGCAUGUAUCAUGAGGGACGCUGUACAGAGAUGUUAGGGCAAGUUCCUUUAAUUAGAUCCAGAUAUUGUAAUUAUUUCCUUCUUCCAGGUUGUUGGUCGCUAAAUGUGCUUAUAGUUGCCAUGGAGAUGGAGAUGGUAAUUGACUGAAGUCAUGUACCUACCUCUCGAUAGAAGGAAACAAGGAUUUGUCAAUAAUUAUAGUACUGUGAUAAAUAAAUGUUUUGUCAACUUCGAUUCUCUAAGAUCAUAAUUAUUCAUAACUAUAAUUAUACUAUUGUUCUUGUUCUUACAAAACUUUAAAUUAUGUUACGUUGUUUCAUAUUAA
Molecule: long non-coding RNA, 2083 nt
Organism: Halichondria panicea
Lineage: Eukaryota; Metazoa; Porifera; Demospongiae; Suberitida; Halichondriidae
Exons: 5
Source: RefSeq, a predicted model, not a curated record